Molecule: ribosomal RNA, 481 nt
Filed under: uncultured bacterium
Lineage: Bacteria
Description: partial 16S ribosomal RNA
Rfam family: Bacterial small subunit ribosomal RNA
Source: RNAcentral
GACGAACGCUGGCGGCGUGCUUAACACAUGCAAGUCGAACGGUGAAAGGGAGCUUGCUCCCUGGAUCAGUGGCGAACGGGUGAGUAACACGUGGGCAAUCUGCCCCAGACUUCGGGAUAACGCUUCGAAAGAGAUGCUAAUACCGGAUACGAACUCCUUGGGCAUCCUUGGGGUUGGAAAGUUUUUCGGUCCGGGAUGGGCCCGCGGCCUAUCAGCUUGUUGGUGAGGUAACGGCUCACCAAGGCGACGACGGGUAGCCGGCCUGAGAGGGCGACCGGCCAAACUGGGACUGAGACACGGCCCAGACUCCUACGGGAGGCAGCAGUGGGGAAUAUUGCGCAAUGGGCGAAAGCCUGACGCAGCAACGCCGCGUGAGGGAUGACGGCCUUCGGGUUGUAAACCUCUUUCAGCAGGGAAGAAGCGAAAGUGACGGUACCUGCAGAAGAAGCACCGGCUAACUACGUGCCAGCCGCCGCGGUAA